This 770-nucleotide ribosomal RNA is filed under the name uncultured Mycobacterium sp. RNAcentral describes it as "bacterial SSU rRNA". It matches the Rfam family "Bacterial small subunit ribosomal RNA", at positions 565 to 1333 of the family's 1533-position model. The record is from RNAcentral. Lineage: Bacteria; Bacillati; Actinomycetota; Actinomycetes; Mycobacteriales; Mycobacteriaceae.
GAGCUCGUAGGUGGUUUGUCGCGUUGUUCGUGAAAUCUCACGGCUUAACUGUGAGCGUGCGGGCGAUACGGGCAGACUUGAGUACUGCAGGGGAGACUGGAAUUCCUGGUGUAGCGGUGGAAUGCGCAGAUAUCAGGAGGAACACCGGUGGCGAAGGCGGGUCUCUGGGCAGUAACUGACGCUGAGGAGCGAAAGCGUGGGGAGCGAACAGGAUUAGAUACCCUGGUAGUCCACGCCGUAAACGGUGGGUACUAGGUGUGGGUUUCCUUCCUUGGGAUCCGUGCCGUAGCUAACGCAUUAAGUACCCCGCCUGGGGAGUACGGCCGCAAGGCUAAAACUCAAAGAAAUUGACGGGGGCCCGCACAAGCGGCGGAGCAUGUGGAUUAAUUCGAUGCAACGCGCAGAACCUUACCUGGGUUUGACAUGCACAGGACGCCGGCAGAGAUGUCGGUUCCCUUGUGGCCUGUGUGCAGGUGGUGCAUGGCUGUCGUCAGCUCGUGUCGUGAGAUGUUGGGUUAAGUCCCGCAACGAGCGCAACCCUUGUCUCAUGUUGCCAGCGGGUAAUGCCGGGGACUCGUGAGAGACUGCCGGGGUCAACUCGGAGGAAGGUGGGGAUGACGUCAAGUCAUCAUGCCCCUUAUGUCCAGGGCUUCACACAUGCUACAAUGGCCGGUACAAAGGGCUGCGAUGCCGCGAGGUUAAGCGAAUCCUUUUAAAGCCGGUCUCAGUUCGGAUCGGGGUCUGCAACUCGACCCCGUGAAGUCGGAGUC